CCAAAUUGACACCGUAACUUCGGGAGAGGGUGUGCCGCUGGUGGUUAGUGACUUCGCGUCACGAAGCUGUCGGUGGUCGCAGUGAAAUGGCGGUUGUGACUGUUUACUAAAAACACAGGACUCUGCGAAGUCGUAAGACGACGUAUAGGGUCUGAUGCCUGCCCGGUGCUGGAAGGUUAAGGGGAUAUGUCAGCGCAAGCGAAGCAUUGAACCGAAGCCCCAGUAAACGGCGGCCGUAACUAUAACGGUCCUAAGGUAGCGAAAUUCCUUGUCGGGUAAGUUCCGACCUGCACGAGGGCAUAACAACAUCCGCACUGUCUCGACCAGGGACUCAGCGAAAUUACAAUGGGGGUGAAGAUGCCCUCUACCCGCGGAAAGACGGAAAGACCCCAUGAACCUUUACUGCAACUUGGCAGUGAUUUUCGGGUUGUUCUGCGUAGGAUAGGUGGGAGGCUUUGAAGCCGGGCUUCCGGGUUCGGCAGAGCCAACGUUGAAAUACCACCCUGAAUAAUCUGGAAAUCUAACCUGCGCCCAUGAUCUGGGCGAGGGACACUGCCUGGUGGGCAGUUUGACUGGGGCGGUCGCCUCCUAAAUUGUAACGGAGGCGUGCGACGGUUCCCUCAGGCUGAUUGGAAACCAGCCGUAGAGUGCAAACGCAUAAGGGAGCUUUACUGCGAGACUGACAAGUCGAACAGUUGCGAAAGCAGGUGUUAGUGAUCCGGUGGUACCACAUGGAAGGGCCAUCGCUCAUCGGAUAAAAGGUACUCUGGGGAUAACAGGCUGAUCGCGCCUGAGAGUUCACAUCGGCGGCGCGGUUUGGCACCUCGAUGUCGGCUCAUCGCAUCCUGGGGCUGGAGCAGGUCCCAAGGGUUUGGCUGUUCGCCAAUUAAAGCGGUACGCGAGCUGGGUUUAAAACGUCGUGAGACAGUUUGGUCCCUAUCUUCCGUGGGCGCAGGACACUUGAGAGGAGCUAUCCAUAGUACGAGAGGACCUGGAUGGACGAACCUCUGGUGCUCCGGUUGUCACGCCAGUGGCAUAGCCGGGUAGCCAUGUUCGGAACAGAUAACCGCUGAAGGCAUAUAAGCGGGAAGCUGGCCUCAAGACUAGGUGUCCCUGACGCAAGUCACUAAAGGCCCCUCAAAGACUACGAGGUUGAUAGGCUCGGUGUGGAAGCGCUGCGAGGCGUGGAGCUAACGAGUACUAAUAGGCCGUGCGACUUGACCUC
RNAcentral lists this ribosomal RNA (1225 nucleotides) under metagenome. RNAcentral describes it as "bacterial LSU rRNA". It matches the Rfam family "Bacterial large subunit ribosomal RNA", at positions 1717 to 2925 of the family's 2925-position model. The record is from RNAcentral.